AGGAUGUGAGUAUUACAUCAGGUACUGGUUAUUUUUGACUACCGGUCCCUGUGUAACACUAGCAUUUU
RNAcentral lists this microRNA precursor (68 nucleotides) under Agrilus planipennis (emerald ash borer). RNAcentral's name for it is "mir-12 microRNA precursor family". It matches the Rfam family "mir-12 microRNA precursor family". The record is from Rfam by way of RNAcentral. Lineage: Eukaryota; Metazoa; Arthropoda; Insecta; Coleoptera; Buprestidae.